This 468-nucleotide ribosomal RNA is filed under the name uncultured bacterium. RNAcentral's name for it is "partial 16S ribosomal RNA". It matches the Rfam family "Bacterial small subunit ribosomal RNA", at positions 28 to 507 of the family's 1533-position model. The record is from RNAcentral.
GACGAACGCUGGCGGCGUGCUUAACACAUGCAAGUCGAACGGAAAGGCCCUGCUUUUGUGGGGUGCUCGAGUGGCGAACGGGUGAGUAACACGUGAGUAACCUGCCCUUGACUUUGGGAUAACUUCAGGAAACUGGGGCUAAUACCGGAUAGGAGCUCCUGCUGCAUGGUGGGGGUUGGAAAGUUUCGGCGGUUGGGGAUGGACUCGCGGCUUAUCAGCUUGUUGGUGGGGUAGUGGCUUACCAAGGCUUUGACGGGUAGCCGGCCUGAGAGGGUGCCCGGCCACAUUGGGCCUGCGAUACGGCCCAGACUCCUACGGGAGGCAGCAGUGGGGAAUAUUGCACAAUGGGCGGAAGCCUGAUGCAGCAACGCCGCGUGCGGGAUGACGGCCUUCGGGUUGUAAACCGCUUUCGCCUGUGACGAAGCGUGAGUGACGGUAAUGGGUAAAGAAGCACCGGCUAACUACGUG